GAAAACUGGAAGAACUCGAAACUUUAAACUGCAACUGCAGGUGUAAAUGCAAAACGGAAAGCCUCGUCACGCCAUGCAAUACGGCAAGCAUAGCGACAUUUACAUAACCAACAACUAUCAGCUAGCCAACCGCAAGCUGUCCGUGAAGCUCUUGCAGUGUUAUAUGCAUGCAUAUACAGUUGAGGAGCGAUAGAGAAUUGAAGAUGGAAAGCUUAGCGUCGAAGAGAUGCAACUGCUUCUACGAGGGGAAUCAUCUACUGGUGAUAGUUGCUGGCAUCGAAGAGCGUCAAACUGGUUGUAAUAAGUCAAAGUAUCUGCAGGUAAAAUUGCAUAACUGCAUUUCAAGGGUUAACUAGUGGCUUUUAUGGAAGUUGCCAAUGAAAGGAAAUAUGCAUGCUCGACGUGUAUUUUAUCGUCAUGAAAAUGCAAGGUUUGAAUUUACAUAUUAUACUGCGAGAUAAAUAAUUUAUGGUACAAGUGAAGUGAUAUUAGUAACGGGAAAUGUUUUUCUAAGCUUCCGUGUAGAUCAUAGUACAUUUGAAUAAUAA
Long non-coding RNA from Hermetia illucens (black soldier fly), 548 nucleotides. RefSeq lists it as uncharacterized. The transcript has 3 exons. The record is from RefSeq and is a predicted model, not a curated record. Lineage: Eukaryota; Metazoa; Arthropoda; Insecta; Diptera; Stratiomyidae.